CAUGCCCCUUCCUAAUCGUAAAGUUUCCUGAGGAACAAAGCACAGUAGCAGUUGUCCCCAGCUCUUGGAUGAAUGGUGAAAGACAGUGUUACUGGCCACCACAAAAAGAAGAAAAGAAGGCUGGGUUGUACGUAUGGAAACGAAAGAGCACUACAUGUGGCUGGCAAACUCUUGCAUGCGUGAAGAUCGCCGAAUAUGACACGCACGGUGAGGCAAGACAAAUGUUGCCGCAAGCAGAGAACACGUCUGACCUGAAUGUGGCAGAACAGUAUGGGCGAGGCAAGCGAAAACGUAUUGUAUUGUUAAGCAGUGAAGAAUCCACGCCACCUGUCUCCCCUCAAAGGCGCAGUUCGAACAAUUCAUCCUGCCAGUCACCCUCUGAGCAGGUGCAAUCGUCGCUCUCUCAGCCACCCAGCAGUCUCUCCAGCUCGAAUACAAGUGUCAGCCGGAAUCGUGCAUUGAGCCAGCCAUGUAUUCCAACUCGGAACGAAGACUCCUUAAAUUUUUCAUCAUUGGACAUAGAAUGUAUGCUUACGUUUUUC
This is a long non-coding RNA of Ornithodoros turicata, 542 nucleotides long. RefSeq lists it as uncharacterized. The transcript is spliced from 4 exons. The record is from RefSeq and is a predicted model, not a curated record. NCBI's taxonomy places the organism in Eukaryota, Metazoa, Arthropoda, Arachnida, Ixodida, Argasidae.